This 868-nucleotide ribosomal RNA is filed under the name uncultured bacterium. RNAcentral's name for it is "bacterial SSU rRNA". It matches the Rfam family "Bacterial small subunit ribosomal RNA", at positions 62 to 920 of the family's 1533-position model. The record is from RNAcentral.
UCGAGGGGCAGCGAGUAGAUUGCUUGCAUCUACGUCGGCGACCGGCGCACGGGUGCGUAACGCGUAUGCAACCUACCCAUUACAGGGGGAUAACACUGAGAAAUCGGUACUAAUACCCCAUAACAUCCAGGGAGGCAUCUUCUUGGGUUGAAAACUCCGGUGGUAAUGGAUGGGCAUGCGUUGUAUUAGUUAGUUGGUGGGGUAACGGCUCACCAAGACGACGAUACAUAGGGGGACUGAGAGGUUAACCCCCCACAUUGGUACUGAGACACGGACCAAACUCCUACGGGAGGCAGCAGUGAGGAAUAUUGGUCAAUGGACGCAAGUCUGAACCAGCCAUGCCGCGUGCAGGAAGACGGCUCUAUGAGUUGUAAACUGCUUUUGUACGAGGGUAAACGCAGAUACGUGUAUCUGUCUGAAAGUAUCGUACGAAUAAGGAUCGGCUAACUCCGUGCCAGCAGCCGCGGUAAUACGGAGGAUUCAAGCGUUAUCCGGAUUUAUUGGGUUUAAAGGGUGCGUAGGCGGUCGGAUAAGUUAGAGGUGAAAUCCCGGGGCUCAACUUCGGAAUUGCCUCUGAUACUGUUCGGCUAGAGAGUAGUUGCGGUAGGCGGAAUGUAUGGUGUAGCGGUGAAAUGCUUAGAGAUCAUACAGAACACCGAUUGCGAAGGCAGCUUACCAAGCUACUUCUGACGUUGAGGCACGAAAGCGUGGGGAGCAAACAGGAUUAGAUACCCUGGUAGUCCGCACAGUAAACGAUGGAUGCCAGCUGUCCGGGCCGAAUGGGGCCUGGGUGGCAAAGCGAAAGCGUUAAGCAUCCCACCUGGGGAGUACGCCGGCAACGGUGAAACUCAAAGGAAUUGACGGGGGC